RNAcentral lists this ribosomal RNA (393 nucleotides) under uncultured bacterium. RNAcentral's name for it is "partial 16S ribosomal RNA". It matches the Rfam family "Bacterial small subunit ribosomal RNA", at positions 523 to 918 of the family's 1533-position model. The record is from RNAcentral.
AUACGGAGGAUGCAAGCGUUAUCCGGAUUUAUUGGGUUUAAAGGGUGCGUAGGCUGUUCGGAAAGUCAGGGGUGAAGGCCCGGCGCCUAACGCCGGAACUGCCUUUGAUACUUCCGAGCUGGAAUACGGAUGCCGUGGGAGGAAUGAGUAGUGUAGCGGUGAAAUGCAUAGAUAUUACUCAGAACACCGAUUGCGAAGGCAUCUCACGAAUACGUCAAUGACGCUGAGGCACGAAAGCGUAGGGAUCAAACAGGAUUAGAUGCCCUGGUAGUCCACGCAGUAAACGAUGAUGACUAACCGUCGGCGAUACACAGUCGGUGGCCAAGCGAAAGCGAUAAGUCAUCCACCUGGGGAGUACGGUCGCAAGAAUGAAACUCAAAGGAAUUGACGGGG